RNAcentral lists this ribosomal RNA (253 nucleotides) under uncultured bacterium. Its description in RNAcentral is "partial 16S ribosomal RNA". It matches the Rfam family "Bacterial small subunit ribosomal RNA", at positions 524 to 776 of the family's 1533-position model. The record is from RNAcentral.
UACGUAGGGUGCAAGCGUUAAUCGGAAUUACUGGGCGUAAGGCGUGCGCAGGCGGUUUUGUAAGUCAGAUGUGAAAGCCCCGGGCUCAACCCGGGGACUGCGUCCGAUACUGGCAGGCUUGAAUCCGGGAGAGGGAUGUGGAAUUCCAGGUGUAGCGGUGAAAUGCGUAGAUAUCUGGAGGAACACCGGUGGCGAAGGCGGCAUCCUGGACCGGUAUUGACGCUGAGGCGCGAAAGCCAGGGGAGCAAACGGG